RNAcentral lists this ribosomal RNA (501 nucleotides) under uncultured bacterium. RNAcentral's name for it is "bacterial SSU rRNA". It matches the Rfam family "Bacterial small subunit ribosomal RNA", at positions 33 to 507 of the family's 1533-position model. The record is from RNAcentral.
ACGCUGGCGGCGUGCCUAACACAUGCAAGUCGAGCGCGAAAGUUCCUUCGGGAGCGAGUAGAGCGGCGGACGGGUGAGUAAUACGUGGGUAAUCUGCCCCCGAGCUCGGGAUAACACCGCGAAAGCGGUGCUAAUACCGGAUAAGACCACAUCACCCAGGUGGUGUGGUAAAAGGUGGCUUUAUUUUCGGAUGAGGCUAUCACUUGAGGAUGAGCCCAUGGCCUAUCAGCUUGUUGGUGAGGUAAAAGCUCACCAAGGCAAUGACGGGUAGCUGGUCUAAGAGGACGACUAGCCACACUGGGACUGAGACACGGCCCAGACUCCUACGGGAGGCAGCAGUGGGGAAUAUUGGGCAAUGGGCGAAAGCCUGACCCAGCGACGCCGUGUGGGCGAUGAAGGCCUUCGGGUUGUAAAGCCCUGUGAGGUGGAAAGAAGGGUCCAGAGGUUAAUACCCUUUGGACCUUGACGGUACCACCAGAGGAAGCACCGGCUAACUCCGUG